GCAGGGGUAAUCGAAUUGGCAUAGAUACUUGCCUUAGAAGCAAGGUUUUGAGGGUUCGACUCCCUCUCUCUGCACCA
RNAcentral lists this transfer RNA (77 nucleotides) under Clostridia bacterium. RNAcentral's name for it is "tRNA-Leu". It matches the Rfam family "tRNA". Rfam says of the family: Transfer RNA (tRNA) molecules are approximately 80 nucleotides in length. Their secondary structure includes four short double-helical elements and three loops (D, anti-codon, and T loops). Further hydrogen bonds mediate the characteristic L-shaped molecular structure. tRNAs have two regions of fundamental functional importance: the anti-codon, which is responsible for specific mRNA codon recognition, and the 3' end, to which the tRNAs corresponding amino acid is attached (by aminoacyl-tRNA synthetases). tRNAs cope with the degeneracy of the genetic code in two manners: having more than one tRNA (with a specific anti-codon) for a particular amino acid; and 'wobble' base-pairing, i.e. permitting non-standard base-pairing at the 3rd anti-codon position. The record is from RNAcentral. Lineage: Bacteria; Bacillati; Bacillota; Clostridia.